Molecule: small nucleolar RNA, 138 nt
Organism: Ornithorhynchus anatinus (platypus)
Lineage: Eukaryota; Metazoa; Chordata; Mammalia; Monotremata; Ornithorhynchidae
Source: RefSeq, a predicted model, not a curated record
CACCUCUCAGGAUCGCACCUGGAGAGUUUCCAGUACUCCACCAAUCUCAACUAUGGAAAGGAGAGUCAAGCAGAGGCAUAUCCAUUCUAUUUCUAGCUUAGGCAGUGGCUAGCGAUUGGAAGAUAAUCUGCUACAAGU